UUUUUUAGUGUUUCCACUAAAUAAUCUAGUGUGGAAAUUUUGAUUGUGAAUCUUUCAUGUUUACUGAAAGGUGUGGUCGUCCCUAGUGAGUCAUUGUCGCUAUGAAUUAGUUCAAUUUGCGUUUUGAAUGAGUUAAAUGGUGAUUUUCCGCUUUUGAUGUGUCUAAUAUCUGAGGAUUCAGUUGUGUGUAUUGAUUCGCCUGAUGUAUUAUAAAUUUUUCGGGAUAGCGUGUCGGCUACAAUUUUUCUUAUCCAGGGCUCAAAUUGAUGUUUUAACUUCAUCUAUAACUGAGAAUCAACAAAUGGUGGCUACACUGGAAAACAGUCUGCUAUCUGUAAACUAAACAUCAGAAAUGAAAUGCAUAUUAACUUAGAUAUUUUCAAAGCGUUGCCAGACUUCACGGGCAACAGAAACCAGUAUAAAUCAUGGAGAAAACGUGCCUGGACACACAUGGAGAACGUCAAGAAUUACUCACUGCCUCCACGUACUACACGGCACUUUCGAUUGUACAUUCCAAAAUUCAAUGAGAGGCAGCUGAUAUUUUUAAAAGCCACAAGACCAAAUUCAACUUCUAUUCAAUAAUAAACCGUCUCGAUUACACUUAUGGUCCGCAUAUGUUUUUAUGUUUUGCUCGAAUGAAUGAAAAUAAUAAAGCAAAGAAGAAGGACUCUGGCAGAUUUCCAUUGCGAAGUCAUCAAGUCAAUUAUUCUUGCACUUACUAAAGUGGAGAUGGAUAAGGCUUUGUUUUUCUCAAGCAAGUGAAUGAAUUGCCGUGUCUUCAACGCCUCUACAGCGAUACGGGCAAAGCAGUUAAUAUCCUUGUCGACACUGGAGCAACAAAUAACUAUGUAUAUAAUCUCUAAAUGCAAUAUCGAAAGUGAAAUAAUCCAACCGAGUAAAAGUUCGUACAAUUCACCCAUUUGGACAUUUGCUAAAAAAGGUAACGAUGAACAAGGGAAACCUAAACGAAGAAUGGUUGUAGCCUUUCAAAAGCUAAACGCUAAUGCAAAAAUAGGGAUUAUUCGAGCUUGGCAAUACUGCGCAAUAUUGCGCAAACAUCAUAUUCGAUGUAAAAAUGUGGCAACUCGUGCAAAAGUCAGACGUUCGAGCGAGUAAAAACUUCACACUUGAUGCGCGCCAAUAAUGGAAGA
Bactrocera tryoni is the source of this 1151-nucleotide long non-coding RNA. RefSeq lists it as uncharacterized. The record is from RefSeq and is a predicted model, not a curated record. Lineage: Eukaryota; Metazoa; Arthropoda; Insecta; Diptera; Tephritidae. The transcript has 3 exons.